CAGUAGCCGCGGUAAUACGUAGGUCCCGAGCGUUGUCCGGAUUUAUUGGGCGUAAAGCGAGCGCGGGCGGUUAGAUAAGUCUGAGGUUAAAGGCUGUGGCUUAACCAUAGUACGCUUUGGAAACCGUUUAACUUGAGUGCAAGAGGGGAGAGUGGAAUUCCAUGUGUAGCGGUGAAAUGCGUAGAUAUAUGGAGGAACACCGGUGGCGAAAGCGGCUCUCUGGCUUGUAACUGACGCUGAGGCUCGAAAGCGUGGGGAGCAAACAGGAUUAGAUACCCGCGUAGUCCCUGUCUCUUAUACA
RNAcentral lists this ribosomal RNA (301 nucleotides) under uncultured bacterium. Its description in RNAcentral is "partial 16S ribosomal RNA". It matches the Rfam family "Bacterial small subunit ribosomal RNA", at positions 509 to 808 of the family's 1533-position model. The record is from RNAcentral.